RNAcentral lists this transfer RNA (65 nucleotides) under Marmota monax (woodchuck). Its description in RNAcentral is "tRNA.Ala". The record is from RNAcentral. Lineage: Eukaryota; Metazoa; Chordata; Mammalia; Rodentia; Sciuridae.
GUUGUGGCUCAGUGGUAAAGUGCUUGCCUAGCACACUCGAGGCCCUGGGUUUGAUCCUCAGCACA